RNAcentral lists this ribosomal RNA (390 nucleotides) under uncultured bacterium. RNAcentral's name for it is "partial 16S ribosomal RNA". It matches the Rfam family "Bacterial small subunit ribosomal RNA", at positions 355 to 763 of the family's 1533-position model. The record is from RNAcentral.
UGGGGAAUAUUGGACAAUGGGGGCAACCCUGAUCCAGCAAUGCCGCGUGUGUGAAGAAGGUUUUCGGAUUGUAAAGCACUUUCGGCGGGGACGAUGAUGACGGUACCCGCAGAAGAAGCCCCGGCUAAUUCGUGCCAGCAGCCGCGGUAAUACGAAGGGGGCUAGCGUUGCUCGGAAUGACUGGGCGUAAAGGGCGUGUAGGCGGUUUGUACAGUCAGAUGUGAAAUCCCCGGGCUUAACCUGGGAGCUGCAUUUGAGACGUGCAGACUAGAGUGUGAGAGAGGGUUGUGGAAUUCCCAGUGUAGAGGUGAAAUUCGUAGAUAUUGGGAAGAACACCGGUGGCGAAGGCGGCAACCUGGCUCAUUACUGACGCUGAGGCGCGAAAGCGUG